GAGGCCUUAGCUUAAUUAAAGCGUUUGAGUUGCAGUCAUAAUAUGUAGGUUAAAAUUUUACAGGUCUUC
This 69-nucleotide transfer RNA is filed under the name Afrogecko porphyreus. Its description in RNAcentral is "tRNA-Ala". It matches the Rfam family "tRNA". From Rfam's summary of the family: Transfer RNA (tRNA) molecules are approximately 80 nucleotides in length. Their secondary structure includes four short double-helical elements and three loops (D, anti-codon, and T loops). Further hydrogen bonds mediate the characteristic L-shaped molecular structure. tRNAs have two regions of fundamental functional importance: the anti-codon, which is responsible for specific mRNA codon recognition, and the 3' end, to which the tRNAs corresponding amino acid is attached (by aminoacyl-tRNA synthetases). tRNAs cope with the degeneracy of the genetic code in two manners: having more than one tRNA (with a specific anti-codon) for a particular amino acid; and 'wobble' base-pairing, i.e. permitting non-standard base-pairing at the 3rd anti-codon position. Lineage: Eukaryota; Metazoa; Chordata; Lepidosauria; Squamata; Gekkonidae. The record is from RNAcentral.